Molecule: ribosomal RNA, 365 nt
Filed under: uncultured fungus
Lineage: Eukaryota; Fungi
Description: eukaryotic LSU rRNA
Rfam family: Eukaryotic large subunit ribosomal RNA
Source: RNAcentral
AUAUCAAUAAGCGGAGGAAAAGAAACUAACAAGGAUUCCCCUAGUAACGGCGAGUGAAGCGGGAAGAGCUCAAAUUUGAAAUCUGGCGGUCUCAGGCCGUCCGAGUUGUAGUCUGGAGAAGCGUUUUCCGCGUCGGACCGUGUAUAAGUCUCUUGGAACAGGGCGUCAUAGAGGGUGAGAAUCCCGUCUCUGACACGGACUACCGAUGCUUUGUGAUGCGCUCUCGAAGAGUCGAGUUGUUUGGGAAUGCAGCUCAAAACGGGUGGUAAAUUCCAUCUAAAGCUAAAUAUUGGCGAAAGACCGAUAGCGAACAAGUACCGUGAGGGAAAGAUGAAAAGCACUUUGGAAAGAGAGUGAAACAGUAC